UUUUUUGGAAAUGGGGGGGGGGGGCAUCUUUUGAUAGUCUUCAUAUAAAGAAUGAUAAAAGAGAACAGCUAGAACAUGUAGAAAGGUUGACAAUAUUGAAAUCAAUUGUUGUUUAUGUAAUUUCAUUUCCUUAGUUUAGGAUUCAAUUUGGACCAAUGGAAGAGAUCUGCAUCUUCUAAAUCUAAACAUUUGAUUAAAGUUGAUAGUUAAUUAUCUAAAAUUCAACUGAAUUCUGUCAUUUCACAACAACUACAAUAUUUUUUGAAAUCUUGAUUGUUUACCACUGAACUGCAGGCUAGGGCCAUUUUCCAUUUUUCUUAAGAAAGUGUGGACUGAAAAAUCUAUUCAGUUUUAAAUUUCCAUUGAUAAAGUUCCCAGUUAUAACUCUCAUCACAGGGAAACAGGUACUAAUAAAAAACAAUAUGAUUGAUGUAAACUGUGUGAAGCUUGUUUCCAAAUCCUAAAUUUGAAAUAUUUGUAAAUUUCAUGAAUAAAUAGGUUGAAACUACAAAAUGCAACAUUUUUUUUUUUUUUUAUUUUUUUUUUUACCAUUACAAUGAUUAUGUUGGUACACAAAAAUUUAGUUUAAAUGGAAGACUACUAAUCCAAUGAAAUGUCACAUUUUAAGUGUUUAAAUACAUUAACUUUUAUUUUAGUGGAUAAUUACUCAUCAGUUGAGGUGCUCCUGAAUUGGAGGAAGAUUCUCAAAACAGAAUUUUUACAGAAAAAAAUCAAUAAAAUCGUUUCUCUCCCCUAUCUCAUGUAACCCCACGAUCUUUGUUUACUUUGAAAGUUGCUGACCUACAAAUUAAAGUAUUGCAUGUUGAUGUUUGAAUCAUCUACAGCAAACAAUAUUAUGUUUAGAUUUAGCAAAUACCAAUUUGUAUUAGUGCACGAUCUCUGGGAAUGAUUUAAAUAACCAGUGAAGGAUAUCCCUGCUUCUGCAUAGUGUGGCAUUCCAAGAAUGACGUCACUAUAAAAUACAAUGUAGGUUGGAUAUAUUUAGAAUAUCUCGUCAUACUAAUUUUUCCGGAUUGUAAAAGAAACGUAAAUAGAGUAAAGGAGAGCUCAAGAUACGAUAAUUUCGUCAGAAACAGAAGGGAAAUGUGUAAAAAAGUGUUUAAAGUCAAACUAUUCAUUUCUGGGUCUCCUUCUCUUCAAUCUAAGUAAGAUUUGUUGGGGGUUUUCCACACUAUAAAAACAAAAUGAAUGAUGUGAGGGAAUGUCACUCUGGUCAACCCCAUAGGGGAUUGACAGCUUGAAGCCGUCUUUCCCCAAAAAAUGUUAUAUACAUGUACAUGUAAUACUCAAUUUGGGAUAUGGUAUACCAAAUUAAGAGUUAUUAAUUUACUUAUGCAAACAUUUUUAGGGGGAUUUCAGGGCUCACACUACUUCAGAAUCAUAGGGGGAAGUGACUUCUCUUUUUAAAACUGAUAGGGAGAAGUGGUGAGAUUUGAAAGAGAAGUGCUCCUUCGUGCGCUUUGCUCCAAUGUUUGGAUCUUACUAUAGUAUAAAGGGUCAUGUAAAUAAUGUUCUUUUUAUAUUUAUAUCUGAG
RNAcentral lists this long non-coding RNA (1555 nucleotides) under Mytilus galloprovincialis (Mediterranean mussel). Lineage: Eukaryota; Metazoa; Mollusca; Bivalvia; Mytilida; Mytilidae. The record is from RNAcentral.